UUGGGGGCAGCUCAAGGACUUGUCCCAUCAGCAGUCACCAGCACAGAUGUGUUGAAAAGAAUACAAUGGAGAUAAAAACGGAGCAGAGAAGAGGAAAACAAGUAGUUUCUAAACUGUGGGAUGAAGGAAAGAGGCAGUAAUGCCAUGUUGUUCUCUCUUCAUGAGACCAUCUUGCCAUCCUGCAAAGGUUCCACACCACGGGGCCAUGAACCAUCACCAGUGUGGUUCUUCAUAACUGGACAAUAUCAUUCCAAUGUCAACAAAGUGCUCCUGCAAAAAGUGUCCCCAGGAGCCUGCACUGAACUUAGUGUACAGAGAUGUGCGCACUUGCUGAGAGCAAAGAUGAGUGGACUGGGGAAUCUAUAUGUUUGAAUAAAAAUGCUCUCUCCUAGCCAUAACCAAUUAUUUCAUCUCUUGUUUCUACUGUCUUGGUCCAGUUCCAGGAAAGGGACUGCUUUCUGUGGCCAGGACGCCCUCUUCUGUUGAUGGUCAGUUUCAUUGUUUCAGUGCUUGUCAAGGGAGGUCAUAGUCACAGAGAGAGAAAGAUUUCUCUUCAAAGUCAUCUGAAGCAUCUGGUGCUGUCCAUUGUCACAGACAAAUUACUGGAGGAGAUGAAGCACUAUUCUGAGCUGAAUUUCUGAUGGAACUGGAGAUUUUGACUAGCUGACUUGGGAUUCCUAGGGAUUUUAUGGACUUCCUGCGUGAACCAAAACCUGUCCAUUGGGGAUGCAUCUCUGUAUCACAGCUGGUGUUUCUGAACCUUCGUCUGGAGUAGAAAUUCAUCCCUGAUUUUUUUGGCUGGAUUGACUGUUUAGUCUAGGAACUCUCAAGUACACUUUGUAGGUGCUGGAAUUCCUCAUUCUCUUCAGUCAGCAGCUGAUGUGGUAUGGUGUACAUCAGGGUAUAUAUUCUGGAGUGAGCAAAGAUUUAUGCUCUUCCUAACUCCCAUUGAUGCUAAUGAGUAUUACAGACAUGUGUCCCGUGGAGCAAGAUGAGAACAUACCCCAGACUGUGUGUGGAGUUUGCCAUUAGGGCAUCCACACUGCUAAAAACAAUACAGAGAUCCCAAGGGUAGGAAAGUAAUUGGACCUCUACCCUUUUUUCUAACAACGCGAAUGUAAGAGAUACAUUUUAAAGUCUCUCUCAUUUCUCUCCCUCUCCUACCAGCACCUGUAUUAAUUUUUGGUUAUGAGUGACCUCACAGAAGAAUUGAUUUCCAUUUUUGAAGAUGUUUCCAAAGACUGACAACUCUUAUGGCAGCUUUGGAUACAGAAGAAAAAGCAGAUGUGGCAAAGAAUAAGUCAUAAUAAGAAACUGUCAUCCUUUAGAGCAGUGGUUCUCAAACUGGGGGGUUGGGAC
Molecule: long non-coding RNA, 1359 nt
Organism: Trachemys scripta elegans
Lineage: Eukaryota; Metazoa; Chordata; Testudines; Emydidae
Exons: 3
Source: RefSeq, a predicted model, not a curated record